This 230-nucleotide ribosomal RNA is filed under the name uncultured bacterium. Its description in RNAcentral is "partial 16S ribosomal RNA". It matches the Rfam family "Bacterial small subunit ribosomal RNA", at positions 29 to 288 of the family's 1533-position model. The record is from RNAcentral.
AACGAACGCUGGCGGCAGGCUUAACACAUGCAAGUCGAGCGCCCCGCAAGGGGAGCGGCAGACGGGUGAGUAACGCGUGGGAAUCUACCUUUUGCUACGGAAUAACUCAGGGAAACUUGUGCUAAUACCGUAUGUGCCCUUCGGGGAAGAUUUAUCGGCAAAGGAUGAGCCCGCGUUGGAUUAGCUAGUUGGUGGGGGUAAAGGGCCCACCAAGGCGACGAUCCAUAGCU